ACCGCAUAAGACAAAGAUACAUAAACAGUCAAUCAAUUAACAUAAAGAUACCAUAAAGACAAGGAUACAUAAACAGUCGAUCAAUUAACACAAAGAUACCAUAAAACACUUGGAGAGGGGAAACAAGCAACUCCCAAGAGCAAAACUGGGAUUCCUUAUACUUCUCCAUGCUCAAUAAGAUGUGUCUACUUCAGAAUUCUUUACUCCUAACACACGAGGUUCUAAGACAGUUUAACCCCAGUUAAGAACGGUUUG
RNAcentral lists this unclassified non-coding RNA (255 nucleotides) under Hevea brasiliensis (rubber tree). The record is from RNAcentral. Lineage: Eukaryota; Viridiplantae; Streptophyta; Magnoliopsida; Malpighiales; Euphorbiaceae.